GAUGAACGCUAGCGGCAGGCCUAACACAUGCAAGUCGAGGGGCAUCAUGGCGUAGCAAUACGCUGAUGGCGACCGGCGCACGGGUGCGUAACGCGUAUGGAACCUACCCACCGCAGGGGGAUAACCCGCCGAAAGGCGGACUAAUACCCCAUGGUUCCCCGACCCUGCCUGGGGUUGGGGGUAAAGCCUACGGGCGGCGGUGGAUGGCCCUGCGUGCCAUUAGCUGGCUGGUGGGGUAACGGCCCACCAGGGCGACGAUGGCUAGGGGGUCUGAGAGGACGAUCCCCCACACUGGUACUGAGACACGGACCAGACUCCUACGGGAGGCAGCAGUGAGGAAUAUUGGUCAAUGGGGGAGACCCUGACCCAGCGACGCCGCGUGAGGGAUGAAGGUUUUCGGAUCGUAAACCUCUGUUGUACGGGAAGAAGGACUUGACGGUACCGUACGAGGAAGCCCCGGCAAACUACGUG
RNAcentral lists this ribosomal RNA (471 nucleotides) under uncultured bacterium. Its description in RNAcentral is "bacterial SSU rRNA". It matches the Rfam family "Bacterial small subunit ribosomal RNA", at positions 28 to 507 of the family's 1533-position model. The record is from RNAcentral.